Molecule: ribosomal RNA, 460 nt
Filed under: uncultured bacterium
Lineage: Bacteria
Description: partial 16S ribosomal RNA
Rfam family: Bacterial small subunit ribosomal RNA
Source: RNAcentral
CCUCCUUUCUUCCUCCUUUCUGCCUAUUUGUCAAUGGCCGGAAUGCUGAACCAGCCAUGCCGCGUGAAGGUCAGUGCCCUAUGGGCGUUAAACUUCUUUUGUGCGGGAGCAAUAAUGGUCACGUGUGGCCAGACGAGAGUACCGUACGAAUAAGCAUCGGCUAACUCCGUGCCAGCAGCCGCGGUAAUACGGGGGAUGCAAGCGUUAUCCGGAUUUAUUGGGUUUAAAGGGUGCGUAGGCUGUGAGGUAAGUCAGCGGUGAAAUGCCCCCGCUCAACGGGGUGAAGUGCCAUUGAUACUGCCUUGCUGGAAUGCGGAUGCCGUGGGAGGAAUGUGUGGUGUAGCGGUGAAAUGCAUAGAUAUCACACAGAACACCGAUUGCGAAGGCAUCUCACGAAUCCGCGAUUGACGCUGAUGCACGAAAGCGUGGGUAUCAAACAGGAUUAGAUACCCCAGUAGUC